Cavia porcellus (domestic guinea pig) is the source of this 1259-nucleotide long non-coding RNA. RefSeq lists it as uncharacterized. NCBI's taxonomy places the organism in Eukaryota, Metazoa, Chordata, Mammalia, Rodentia, Caviidae. The transcript is spliced from 3 exons. The record is from RefSeq and is a predicted model, not a curated record.
UCAAUGGACAUUUGAUACCCUUCUCACCAAGGAUGGCAGCUUGAUUGAGCUAUUUUAUGACUGUCUGUAAUUAUAUUGCAAAGGAAUUAUUUUCUGAGAAGGAUUUUCCUGAAGAAACCUCUACCUGGAACUAGGAACUGACUGGAACUCAAGUGUGACAGUACCUGGCACAUUUCAACAAGAGACACUGAACACAGCAUGGAAGGAACACAAGUCCCUGCGUGGCUUUGUUCAAGUCAGACUCGCGGGCAUAAAGUCUAUACUCUGUUUUUUAACAGUCUCAUGCAAGUGCCACUGAGAACACAUACAAUAGAGUGUCUGGCAGCACUGGAGAGCAACCCAGCACCUGCAUAUGCCAGGUAAGUUGCUCCUACCACUGAUCCACAGUCUCAGCCCAAGAAUUUUUUUGAAAGGAAGGAUGUAUCUCAAAGCUAUAAUACUUUCCUCUCAGAAAGAAGGUACAGCACAGGGAAUGUCAGUUAGAAGAGACUUUAAUUGUAUCUUUAAUGUAUAAUUUCCCUAAAAGGAAACAACAACAGCAAAAGAAUAUGAUGAAAAAUACUAACAUUAAUAAAUUUACUAGUCAGGGUCCAAUCAGGAGACAGAAAUUAUACAGGAAAUUUAGUAAAAAAAUUAAUGGAGAGCCUGGGAAUGUAACUCAUCGGUAGAAGACUUGCCUACCAUAUGCAAAUCUCUGUGUUCCAUCCCUAGCACCAAAUACACACACACACACACACACACACACACACACACACACACACAAGCCCCCCAGGAUUAACUAGAGUGGUAGAGGAACCUCUGAAGAAGAGUAGCAGAAGUGGGGAGCAAUUACUACCUCCAGACCUAAGAAAGCAUACGCCAGGAAGGAACACACUUGGAGCAUAUCCCUAUCUGGAUACUGAGAUUCAGAGCCCGGCUGUGGACGACGCGGAAAGUUCACUAAAGUGCUUCAGUUCAGCCUGGACCACAGCUGGUGGUCCCUCUAGCGCCCUCUAUCCACAAACCCUGAUGGAGAAGUGUUUACAGGGUACAUAUCUGCCGGAUUAAAAACCAAGGCAAAUAGGGUGGAUUUAGAGCCAAAAAGUAAUAAAUUGAUUACUGGCACAUUAGUGAUGGAUAAUGGGAAUACAGAUGUUGGUUAUAUUAUUAUAUGUGGUUUAAAGAUCUCAAAAUAAAAAUGUCAAUGCCAAAUGUGGCAGCACACACCUGUAAUCCCAGCCACUUGGGAGGCAAAUGGAGGAGGAUGCUGAAUUCAAAGC